Molecule: long non-coding RNA, 1036 nt
Organism: Oncorhynchus kisutch (coho salmon)
Lineage: Eukaryota; Metazoa; Chordata; Actinopteri; Salmoniformes; Salmonidae
Exons: 2
Source: RefSeq, a predicted model, not a curated record
CCCCCUCCUCAGGCCAGACCAGCCCCGGCCGCUGUCCCCCCUCCUAGUCGCCCCCCGGCAGCAAGAGGCCCCACCGCCGCCCCUCCUCCCUCCAGUCCCCAAAACCCAGCUUUCGGGGCGCCCCUCAUCCCCUCUCGACCCGGACCCCCACCAGUCAACACCUACAGUGCAGCGGACCCUGUCGUCAAUGUCCCCCUGAUCCCAUCUCGCCCAGCCAGGGUACCCCCAGCCCUGCCCCCCGGCAUACCCAGAAGACCCCCAGCGGCCCCAGGCCGGCCCACCAUCAUACGCCCUUCAGAGCCUUCACUGCUGGACUAGACAGACAGACAGACAGACAGACAGAAUGAAUAAUUACCACUCCUAAUGUCCUUUGACUACAAAGACACACUUUGCGUAACGUUGAUGUUUUAUUCACUAACAUGAUUCCAGACUGUCUUUCAUGUAUUCUCUCUUAAUAUUCAUAUUGUCAUGUUAUUGUUAUUUCAUGUAUUCUCUCUUAAUAUUCAUAUUGUCAUGUUAUUGUUAUUUCCAUUUAAGCAACACUAUGUACUUUUGAUCACAUAGUUUUUUUGUUAUAGCUUUGUUACAAUGUUUAAUACCUUCAAUUUUUCAAAGGGAUUGAGAGAGAGAGAGAGAAAUGAAACAUACAUGUUUUUGUUUAACUCUAACUUACUUUAAUGAACUCCGUUCAAACCGGUGGAUUAGACAGAAUUUCAAAUCAAACAGGUUUAAAAUAUGGAACAGAUUUUUGUGAAUACCCAGAAUACUUCUUCUUCACAUGGAAGCAUUAUUCCAUUGUUUUAAAUAAGAAAUACACUCCAUAAUUAAUAACUAAAUACUCAUAGUUCUUUAUACUGUUUGAAAUGUUUCUAACCUUCUUACUGGAUCAUAUGUACAUUUGUAUUUUUAGAUCUGAUCUUCAAUAUGCACUUCUUUAUCUAUGCAGGAAUAUUAUAGUAAGUCCUUUCCAGCUCGCGGCUUUUUGAAAUUCAUUUGGAUGAAAUGCUAAUUAUGCUAUAAAAUGAAUUGAUUUCAA